CCAACAUUCAAGUUGCCCAUAUAUCUCUUCUGCAAAUUUUGAUUGUUUUUUUCAGAAAUUAAAUCAACAACAAUCCCUUUGAUUAAGUUGAAAUUUCGGUUAGGAUUCACUCUCCAUUGACUGAAUCCAAGAGGCUUACUAGAGGAUCCGCUGCUAAAAUGAGGGAAGAGAGACGAUCAGAACAUUUACAGGACCCAAUCGGUGUGCAAAACCUUCCUCAAAUUCAGAACGGAAAUGUAGAAUCUUCGUCUACUCGUGGGGAUCUUGAAAAAGACGACGAAGAACGAAUAGUUGUCGAAGAGGAUGGAAACGAAGAGGAAAAUGCUUUUGCCUACAAAGAUCUACCCAAGGAUGCACCCCACAUUCACUGCUUUGUUAACCAUGACAUUAAAACUCAGUUGACUAAGCAUCUUACUGAGCAACAAUAUAAUUUGUUUUGUGAGAAAAUAUGUUUCGAUCAUUAUAUGAGAAUGAGAAUAUGUGUUGGUCAAGGUCAAAUUCUUAGGUGUUGUAUGGCACUAGAACUUGAAUGUAGUACUUGGCAGGCUCUUGUUAUCCGAGUUAAUGGAACUGUCUUGAAGUUUACACUUAGAACGUUUGCACUGAUUACUGAAUCAAAUUG
This is a long non-coding RNA of Solanum tuberosum (potato), 622 nucleotides long. RefSeq lists it as uncharacterized. The transcript has 4 exons. Lineage: Eukaryota; Viridiplantae; Streptophyta; Magnoliopsida; Solanales; Solanaceae. The record is from RefSeq and is a predicted model, not a curated record.